This 67-nucleotide transfer RNA is filed under the name Cladiucha magnoliae. Its description in RNAcentral is "tRNA-Ile". Lineage: Eukaryota; Metazoa; Arthropoda; Insecta; Hymenoptera; Tenthredinidae. The record is from RNAcentral.
AAUAAAGUGCCUGAACUUAAAGGAUUAUUUUGAUAGAAUAAAAAAUGUAAUUUUUUUACCUUUAUUA